Non-coding RNA from Sesamum indicum (sesame), 1407 nucleotides. Lineage: Eukaryota; Viridiplantae; Streptophyta; Magnoliopsida; Lamiales; Pedaliaceae. The record is from RefSeq and is a predicted model, not a curated record.
UGCAAUGCAAGAACAACUACGAGCACACACAUCACACGCACUAAAGUGUUCCAACCCAAUAGAAUAGAACCAACCACACACGCAGGCACAUGAGCAGAACCCCAAAAUUUGUGGAAAUUUGGAAAUUCCAACCCACAAAAGCUGCUCAUAUAUUCUAAUCUCCUCCAGAGGCAGAGGCCAUGCCAGCGCCAGCACCUCUUCACCUUUUCUCCCCUUUCCUACCCAAGAUUCAUCCUCUCACCCCCACCCCAUUCUCUUGCAAACCACCAAAUCUUUCUACUACUACACGCCCUUUUUCUGUCCUGAUGUCGUCUUCACUAUCAAGGCAGUCUUCGAUUGCUUCUAUCGCCCCAUUGGAGGCAAUACUAUUUGAUAUAGAUGGAACAUUAGUGGAUUCGGAUCCUAUCCACUACUAUGCCUUCAGAGAAAUGCUUCAAGAGGUAGGGUUCAAUGGAGGAGUGCCAAUAAGUGAGGAAUUCUUCAUAAAGAAUAUAAGUGGCAUGCAUAAUGAGGAACUUUGUCAUGUUCUAUUCCCGGAUUGGGACCUGCAACAAGCCAGGAAAUUUUUGGACGACAAGGAAGUAAUGUUCCGAAGAUUGGCUGCAGAACAACUCAAACCCGUUGCUGGGCUUGACAAGUUGUGCAAAUGGGUUGAAGAUCAUGAUUUGAAACGAGCUGCAGUGACCAAUGCUCCACGACCAAAUGCUGAGAUGAUAAUCUCUCUACUGGGGCUUGAAAAAUUCUUUCAACUGGUCGUCAUUGGAAGUGAAUGUGAUCGAGCGAAACCUUUUCCAGACCCCUACUUGAAGGCACUGCAGGGACUUGGUGUAUCUUCAGGGAAUACAUUCGUAUUCGAGGACUCAGCCUCUGGAAUAAAAGCCGGGGUGGCAGCUGGGAUGCCAGUGGUGGGUUUAGCCACAAGGAACCCUGAGAAGUUACUGUUGGAUGCGGGCGCAACCAUGGUUAUCAAGGAUUACACUGAGUCAAACUUAUGGACUGCUUUGGAAGACAUAGUGAAGAAGACGGGGGCAACGAAAGUCACCACUUGAGCUCAAUGAACUGGUAAUGGCGUGUUGAUGUACUAAUUGACAUGCUCAAUUUGAAGCUCAAGUACUUUAGACAUUGAUAGGCCAUUCACACAGAAUCCAUUCUUUUUCAGUGAAGUAUCUUCAAUAAGUUGUACAAGCAGUAGCAACCUUAAUGGGAGAUCACCACAUUGAUGUAACACCAAGACAAGGAAUAGGCCACAAAUUCGUUCUAUACGCCAAUGCAAGUCUCAGAUUUACAGCAGGUACAAUGGAUAUCAGGAAUCAAAAACCUAAUAUCGAGCCAAAUAAUGCAAGAAUGAAUGUGGAUAGAAUACAAAACGUAAGUCGCUGCAUUCUGUUAUCAAUCAAUAUUCUGCUA